RNAcentral lists this ribosomal RNA (497 nucleotides) under uncultured bacterium. RNAcentral's name for it is "partial 16S ribosomal RNA". It matches the Rfam family "Bacterial small subunit ribosomal RNA", at positions 28 to 507 of the family's 1533-position model. The record is from RNAcentral.
GAUGAACGCUGGCGGCGUGCCUAAUACAUGCAAGUCGAGCGAACAGACGAGGAGCUUGCUCCUUCGACGUUAGCGGCGGACGGGUGAGUAACACGUAGGUAACCUACCUCUAUGACUGGGAUAACUUCGGGAAACCGGAGCUAAUACCGGCUAAUACUUCGAACCGCAUGGUUCGAUAGUGAUAGAUAGCUUUGCUAUCACUUAUAGAUGGACCUGCGUCGUAUUAGCUAGUUGGUAAGGUAACGGCUUACCAAGGCAACGAUACGUAGCCGACCUGAGAGGGUGAUCGGCCACACUGGAACUGAGACACGGUCCAGACUCCUACGGGAGGCAGCAGUAGGGAAUCUUCCGCAAUGGGCGAAAGCCUGACGGAGCAACGCCGCGUGAGUGAUGAAGGUCUUCGGAUCGUAAAGCUCUGUUAUUAGGGAAGAACAAACGUGUAAGUAACUGUGCACGUCUUGACGGUACCUAAUCAGAAAGCCACGGCUAACUACGUG